RNAcentral lists this ribosomal RNA (500 nucleotides) under uncultured bacterium. RNAcentral describes it as "partial 16S ribosomal RNA". It matches the Rfam family "Bacterial small subunit ribosomal RNA", at positions 28 to 507 of the family's 1533-position model. The record is from RNAcentral.
GACGAACGCUGGCGGCGUGCCUAAUACAUGCAAGUCGAGCGGACUUUCCGCAGUGCUUGGGCUCCGGAGGGUUAGCGGCGGACGGGUGAUUAACGCGUAGGCAACCCUCCCAUAAGACAUGGACACCAUUAGGAAAGGAAUGCUCUUAAUGGAUCGUCGGACUUCUUGCUGGUGGGUGUCGGGAGAGGCGUGGUAUUGUGCCGCCUCUGGAUCUGCCUGCGGGGUAGUAGGGAGGUGGGGGGGUAACGGCCUACCAGGGCGGCGAUGCGUAGCCGACCUGGGAGGGGGAUAGGCCACACGGGGACUGAGACACGGCCCAGAGUCCUACGAGAGGCAGCAGCAGGGACGCGUCGGCGAUGGGCGCAAUACUGACGGAGGAGCGCCGCGCGAGUGAGGAGGGCCUUCGGGUCGGAAAGCUCUGUUGCCAGGGAAGAACGGUCAGGGGAGUAACUGAGCUAGCCAUGACGGUACCUGAAAAGAAAGCCCCGGCUAACUACGUG